CGUCAGGCUCUCCUUGCUGCGGCUUGACCCAACUGCACAUCUCACCUCAGCGUUAUGAAAGUGCAAGGUCUUCAGCAAUGCUAUUGUGGUGCUGGGAUGGAGGAGGAUACAUUGCCUGCAAAACAAUGGUUUCUCUAGCACUUUGAGAACUGGGCUUACUGCCAUCUGACGCUGAAAUGGUAACCAUCUGUUAAGAAUUCCUCCGCUGAGUAAAUUUAUUCAUAUGCUGUAGAAUGAUAGAAAGGAAAAAUCUUUCAGAACAAACAAACAAAACAAAACAAAACCCCCCAAAACCUCUUAGUCAUAACUUGUUUUUGAAUGAAGUUCUGAUGCGUGCAAUUCAUACUGGUUCUUGUGAGUUCUCAGUGCUGAUUAUACAGAAGAACAAUUUACUCACCACGAAAUAUUAUUAUUUCAUGCUAAUAAAAAC
Molecule: long non-coding RNA, 430 nt
Organism: Gallus gallus (chicken)
Lineage: Eukaryota; Metazoa; Chordata; Aves; Galliformes; Phasianidae
Source: Ensembl